AUGAAUCAAUUUAAGGAAAAAUGAGCGGCUGUAUGGAAAACAAGAUUCAAAUUUUGAAUCUCCAUUACUUUCAAAACUUUUAAAAUACAAUUUACCAUUCAUAAACCUUUCAUUCCCCAAUCUCUUCUUUUCCCCCUUUAGACACACACCUAUACACACACAACAGAAAAAUAGAGAGAACUGCUGAUGGUGAACAGUGAGUCCAGCUCUAGGGUUUAGUGUUAAACAAACGCCCGGUCUGGUAACGAACAACUGAACGAUGCCCGAUUUGGGUCGAAACCAGCUAAAUCUCGUGAUGGCGGUGACAGGGGAGUUCUAGGGUUUCGACGGCUAAAUGAGAUUAGGGUUCAGGUGGAGGCGGUGGAAAGAACCCAGGUUGCAUACAACGAAAAUGGAGAUGGAAUCGUUUUAUGGCCGUCUCAGACCAGAUCUACGACGUGUCAGCUACUAGAUUCAGAUUCUACACUUACUAGACGGCUCAAGUUCCUAAAUGGCUGAUGAAAAGUUGUCAAACAAGAGAAAGAGUCUGCUCAACCUCUGAAGACCUAAAAGAGUUCCUAAAAUGGUAACUUUGUUUGACCAAAUGGGUCAACAACCUAUUCUCUAAUGGGUUGGUCUUUAAAAGUUAAGCUAAAAUCCAAAAUAAGGCCUUUCUUGUAUGAGUCGAAUGUAGCCCAAAAGCUAUUUCGGAAUGUAUAAAACCUCCUAAACCAUUUGAUUAAAGAAAUUAUUAUAUUAUUGUAAUUAUAUAAAUUUGUAUCCGAACGUCAACAAAGUACAUAUAUUUUAUAGCACCAAGUGAGAAAUG
This 808-nucleotide long non-coding RNA is filed under the name Helianthus annuus (common sunflower). Lineage: Eukaryota; Viridiplantae; Streptophyta; Magnoliopsida; Asterales; Asteraceae. The record is from RNAcentral.